This 446-nucleotide ribosomal RNA is filed under the name Cyclosa argenteoalba. Its description in RNAcentral is "partial 16S ribosomal RNA". It matches the Rfam family "Bacterial large subunit ribosomal RNA", at positions 1826 to 2600 of the family's 2925-position model. Lineage: Eukaryota; Metazoa; Arthropoda; Arachnida; Araneae; Araneidae. The record is from RNAcentral.
CUCUUACUUAUAUAUUUGUAAGUAAUACCUGCUCAAUGAAUAUUUAAAUAGCCGCGGAAUUUUAACUGUGCUAAGGUAGCAUAAUCAUUAGUCCCUUAAUUAGGGACUUGUAUGAAAGGUAAAACAUUUUAAUCUCUUUCUUUGUCCUUAAAUUUUAAGUUAAAUUAAGAAUAAAAAUGUUCUUAUUUUUAAAAUAGACGAUAAGACCCUUUUGAACUUUACUGAUGUUUAGCUGGGGCAGCUAAAUAAUAAUAAUCUUACUUUAUAUAUUUUAUUAGAUGACCCAAAACAUUUGAUUAGUAGAUCAAGUUACCAUAGGGAUAACAGCGUAAUUUCUUUUUAAAGCUCUUAUUAAAAAAGAAGAUUGCGACCUCGAUGUUGAAUUAAUGUCUCUUUAUAGUGCAAUAACCUUAAAAGUAGGUCUGUUCGACCUAUAAAACAUUACA